UACGAAGGGGGCUAGCGUUGCUCGGAAGUACUGGGCGUAAAGCGCACGUAGGCGGCUUCUUAAGUCGGUGGUGAAAUCCUGGGAGCUCAACUCCGAGAACUGCCUUCGAUACUGGGAGCUCGAGUCCGGGAGAGGUGAGUGGAACUGCGAGUGUAGAGGUGAAAUUCGUAGAUAUCGCAAGAACACCAGUGGCGAAGGCGGCUCACUG
This 208-nucleotide ribosomal RNA is filed under the name uncultured bacterium. RNAcentral's name for it is "partial 16S ribosomal RNA". It matches the Rfam family "Bacterial small subunit ribosomal RNA", at positions 524 to 731 of the family's 1533-position model. The record is from RNAcentral.